GAUCCUGGCUCAGGAUGAACGCUAGCUACAGGCUUAACACAUGCAAGUCGAGGGGCAGCAUGACGGAAGCUUGCUUUCGUUGAUGGCGACCGGCGCACGGGUGAGUAACGCGUAUCCAACCUGCCCUUGUCCAUCGGAUAACCCGUCGAAAGGCGGACUAACACGAUAUGCAGUUCUCAGCAGGCAUCUAACGAGAACGAAAUGUGAAGGAGAAGGAUGGGUCA
This 224-nucleotide ribosomal RNA is filed under the name uncultured bacterium. RNAcentral's name for it is "partial 16S ribosomal RNA". It matches the Rfam family "Bacterial small subunit ribosomal RNA", at positions 15 to 232 of the family's 1533-position model. The record is from RNAcentral.